CUCCUGCCUGUGGAAAUCUCCUGCCUAACUUAAUUCAGGCUCACUCUUUAUCCCAACAUUGGAAUAGACGGACUAAACCUGGUCAAUUGUGCAUGGAGGAAAAACACCCUUUCUGACUUUUGCAGAUUGUCAAACUCGUGCCCAGCUAAGCGACAAAUCCAUCUUUUCAGAGAUCAAUUACAGUGUCUGGCUGCAAAGCCUGAAAAUCCAAUUAACUCCAAAAUAAAUUUUAAAAAAAUGA
Molecule: long non-coding RNA, 241 nt
Organism: Alligator sinensis (Chinese alligator)
Lineage: Eukaryota; Metazoa; Chordata; Crocodylia; Alligatoridae
Exons: 3
Source: RefSeq, a predicted model, not a curated record